Pangasianodon gigas (Mekong giant catfish) is the source of this 72-nucleotide non-coding RNA. The record is from the annotation of a GenBank genome assembly. Lineage: Eukaryota; Metazoa; Chordata; Actinopteri; Siluriformes; Pangasiidae.
CGUAGUUCAUUAAAACUAAUACAAAGCUAUACCCUUGUGCAAUCCGUUGUAAUGGCUCGAUGGGGUCCAUGC